CCUACGGGCGGCUGCAGUGGGGGAUAUUGCACAAUGGGGGGAACCCUGAUGCAGCGACGCCGCGUGGGUGAAGGAGUGCUUCGGCAUGUAAAGCCCUAUCGGCAGGGAAGAAGCAAGACGGUACCUGACUAAGAAGCCCCGGCUAACUACGUGCCAGCAGCCGCGGUAAUACGUGGGGAGCGAGCGUUGUCCGGAAUUACUGGGUGUAAAGGGAGCGUAGGCGGGACUGCAAGUUGGGUGUCAAAUCUACCGGCUCAACCGGUAGCCGCACUCAAAACUGCAGUUCUUGAGUGAAGUAGAGGCAGGCGGAAUUCCUAGUGUAGCGGUGAAAUGCGUAGAUAUUAGGAGGAACACCAGUGGCGAAGGCGGCCUGCUGGGCUUUUACUGACGCUGAGGCUCGAAAGUGUGGGGAGCAAACAGGAUUAGAUACCCUGGUAGUC
This 440-nucleotide ribosomal RNA is filed under the name uncultured bacterium. RNAcentral describes it as "partial 16S ribosomal RNA". It matches the Rfam family "Bacterial small subunit ribosomal RNA", at positions 338 to 795 of the family's 1533-position model. The record is from RNAcentral.